UGGGGGAUAUUGCACAAUGGGCGAAAGCCUGAUGCAGCGACGCCGCGUGGGGGAUGAAGGCUUUCGGGUUGUAAACCUCUUUCGCUAUCGAACAAGGCCCGCUUAGGGUGGGUUGAGGGUAGGUGGAGAAGAAGCGCCGGCUAACUACGUGCUAGCAGCCGCGGUAAUACGUAGGGCGCGAGCGUUGUCCGGAAUUAUUGGGCGUAAAGGGCUUGUAGGCGGCUUGUUGCGCCUGCUGUGAAAACGCGGGGCUUAACUUCGCGCGUGCAGUGGGUACGGGCAGGCUUGAGUGUGGUAGGGGUGACUGGAAUUCCAGGUGUAGCGGUGGAAUGCGCAGAGAUCUGGAGGAACACCGAUGGCGAAGGCAGGUCACUGGGCCAUUACUGACGCUGAGGAGCGAAAGCAUGGGUAGCGAACAGG
Molecule: ribosomal RNA, 420 nt
Filed under: bacterium
Lineage: Bacteria
Description: partial 16S ribosomal RNA
Rfam family: Bacterial small subunit ribosomal RNA
Source: RNAcentral